AGGUGCCUCCCGUCUCUCUGUCCUCAUCCUUUCAGGUUUAGGACCUGCUGGCAGGAUCCUGACGUCUCGGCUUGCGACAAGGCCCGACUUUGUGAUGCCCCACGAUGAGCCGCUCUCCUCCGCCACCCCCAUGGGGUCCCAUUCUGCCGCAGGCCCGGCACCACGGAACUGAGCGACCACAGGCUGCCGCCCAUGAGACCAGGGGCCCAAACAAAUGCUCCUUCCUUCCAGUGUUCCUUGUUAGGAGGACCUUACGCAGUGGUGCCUUUGUUCCAACCGAUGGGCCAGUAUUGCUCUGUUACCUCCAUGGAAGGCCGGGUUCACGUUGGGUUUAUCUUCUGUUUGAACACCGGGGUGAAGUGCUCCGGGUCUGCCAAGUGUGUAGCGCCACGUGACUGCCAGUGCAGUGUUGUACAAGCUGAUACCAGUCCCGACCUGACCUCCCGCCUGGCCCCAGUCCCUGGCCUGGGAGCCAGGCUGUGACGGGCCUUGGCGAGCGUUGCCCUCUCUCUCACCUGCUGGAGGCCUCACCUCCCUGCCAUCCUCCAGGUGACUGUUGGCUGAACACUGCAAGGACUCCAUGGCCGAAGCCGACGGCCUCCACCCUCCACCCUCCCACCCACACGCUCUGACUGCCCGUUUGUGCUUCCUCUUCCCGUUAGCUUCUUCAUCCUGCUUUGCUGUGACUCCGUCACAUCCACCUCCAUCCCAGAUCACACCGCGAGUGUUCUUUGUGUCAAAAUGUCAGUGUUACUUUUCUUAGAAACGUAUCUUCUUGGGGUUAGAACAGACACACGGUGGAAUAAUAGUUUGCAAUCGCUGCCUGCUUUGUUUUUUAUUUUCUGUGGGUGCAGAGGCCUCUGUUUCCUGUAGGAAAGCACAGACGUCACCAAGAAUAGCUUGGCGUCUAGGUGCCGAACUGCUUUCAGGGGCACAGCCCUGGAUCUCCAGGGCUCGGCUUCCCCCGACUGAUACACCCGGGAGCCUUCUCCCGCUUUAUUCUUCGUGUUAGCGCUUCCUGCCCCUGGCUGCCAGGCUGGGCUCUGGAGAGCGUGGGGGGACCCAGGCAGGACAGCUGUGUUUAGGGUUUCCCAGCCCAGGGCACUUUGAAGAUCUUUUUCCCACCAACGAUCUCAGCUGCCCUGGGAGCGAUCGGUUUUGGAGAUGAGGCUGAUCAAAAGCUUGUAGCAAUGGACGUGACCCCCAGUCGCCCCUCAGCUGCUGCAGCUGUGAUCCCGCGCUGGCCCCCAUCAAGCUGGGCGGGCCAAUUCCAUCCCAUGGCCGGCAAAGGAUGAUGAGAAAUAGAAGCAAAGGUGGGAGGUGUAGUGAAAACCUACGGCCAGUGGUUAAAAGUUUUUAAAAAGUGUUAAAGUCCAAGUCACACGGCCAUGAAAGUGAGGGGAGUUUG
This is a long non-coding RNA of Fukomys damarensis (Damara mole-rat), 1408 nucleotides long. RefSeq lists it as uncharacterized. Lineage: Eukaryota; Metazoa; Chordata; Mammalia; Rodentia; Bathyergidae. The record is from RefSeq and is a predicted model, not a curated record. The transcript has 4 exons.